GACGAACGCUGGCGGCGUGCCUAAUACAUGCAAGUCGAACGCUUCUUUCCUCCCGAGUGCUUGCACUCAAUUGGAAAGAGGAGUGGCGGACGGGUGAGUAACACGUGGGUAACCUACCCAUCAGAGGGGGAUAACACUUGGAAACAGGUGCUAAUACCGCAUAACAGUUUAUGCCGCAUGGCAUAAGAGUGAAAGGCGCUUUCGGGUGUCGCUGAUGGAUGGACCCGCGGUGCAUUAGCUAGUUGGUGAGGUAACGGCUCACCAAGGCCACGAUGCAUAGCCGACCUGAGAGGGUGAUCGGCCACACUGAGACUGAGACACGGCCCAGACUCCUACGGGAGGCAGCAGUAGGGAAUCUUCGGCAAUGGACGAAAGUCUGACCGAGCAACGCCGCGUGAGUGAAGAAGGUUUUCGGAUCGUAAAACUCUGUUGUUAGAGAAGAACAAGGACGUUAGUAACUGAACGUCCCCUGACGGUAUCUAACCAGAAAGCCACGGCUAACUACGUG
This 508-nucleotide ribosomal RNA is filed under the name uncultured bacterium. Its description in RNAcentral is "partial 16S ribosomal RNA". It matches the Rfam family "Bacterial small subunit ribosomal RNA", at positions 28 to 507 of the family's 1533-position model. The record is from RNAcentral.